Molecule: long non-coding RNA, 3090 nt
Organism: Pipistrellus kuhlii (Kuhl's pipistrelle)
Lineage: Eukaryota; Metazoa; Chordata; Mammalia; Chiroptera; Vespertilionidae
Exons: 2
Source: RefSeq, a predicted model, not a curated record
UAAUAUCUUAGAAAUGUCUUACAGUUAAUUCAUUCAUUCAUUCAUUCAUUCAUUCAAAUCUGUUUAGUAAUCAUGUAAGACACGGGGCUAAGCUGUAUGGCAUGGUGAUUUUUCUGACUUGGUGAAAUUUAACUUUCGUAAAUUGUCCACCUCAGACCUUCCUGUAUUAGUAUGAGACAUUAGAAUGCCAUUAGAGAAACUAUGUUUAACCCACUGUCUUGCUUCACUUUUUUUCUUCGUUGGCACUUAUUCUUCCCUUUGGUCCUUAAAGGUAAGCAAAUUCCUAAUUCCAGUGUAGGAUCCUAUGCUCCCCUUUCUUCUUUCUUCUUCCAAGCACACAACUAUCCUUACAUUUCUGCCAUAACUUCUGCGGAGUCCAAUCUUCUGAGCCAACUUCAGAUCCACAUCACCAACCCUCUCUCAUUUCCACUCAGCUAUCAAACUGUCAUUGAAAUAUUUAAAACAAAUUCUUUGUCUUUUCCUCUUCCAUCAACAUCCUUGGGCAAGUCCUUAGCGUUAAUAUGGGGGUAAUAAUCACCAUCUUCAGGAGCAGUUGUGAGAACUCGAGGAGUUAAAACAUGUAAAACACUUAAAACACUACCUCAUGUACAGUAAGUCCUCUUUGAAAGUUAAUUGUUAUAUUAGCUGUAGUGGGAUAAGGUUCACUGAGUUCUGAACUGAAUACUAAAUUAAGUGAAUUGUUUGUUAUCUUUUUUCCAAUUAGAUUAAUUUUUUAACAGCAAGGGUGUAUCUGACUACUUUUGCCAUGUCCAAGUACUGUCCUCAAAUUCAUCCUAUUGUUUCUUAAUUCACCUAAAGGUGGCUUCAGAGAGAAAUCAGCUGUGGUGUAGGGGACUGUGUCUGUGUGUCUGAGUGCCUUUUGAUUUCACUUCAUCUCAGCUCUUUGUUUUUGAGUGGCCAGAUCAGCUGAGUUUCUCACAUGUGAAUAGGUCACUGACAUAUUCAGCAUAAUUAGUAUAUAUUGUGGUACUGUUCUGCCCUUAGAGUACUAUCUCUUUGCUUUAUUCCCACUUAGCUGGCAUUUUCCAGAAGGACUUUCAUGAUGUUAAGAAAGACUAAAAAAGAAACGAGAUAAGGUACAGCACCUUACACUAGGUUUUGAAGACAUAGGUUUCUGAUUCUGUCGACAGCAGCAUCAAAGUGCUAGUGUGAUUUUCCAGGGAUGUAUGUGGGUUCUGGGUAUAAAGGACCUUCUGAGGGCCUAGCCCAGAGCGUGGCUCUGAACAUUAGUCCUCUUUCCCACCCCCAGCCUGUCUCUAUGUGGGAUGUUGCCACUUUUUCUCCUUGUACAAGAAAACAGACGUAUUGGUUCCAGCUUGCUCUUUCCUUGAACAAGUGUAAAGGUUCUUAUUCCUUUUGCUGCCUGACUAGACACAAGGAGGUUUGUAGUGUCUGCUGAUUUCCCCUGCUGACUUCAAAUGAUCAAUGUGGCACCACUGAUGGUGGAGGUGAGAGGGUACCUGAACAAUGGGCUCUUGUAAGCCAGUAUCAGCCGGCGCCAGCAUAUCUCUGCGACUCAUCCAUAGAACAUGGUGGCCAAUUACUCUGUGAGGUAGCCUGCCUUCUUGACAAAAUGAAUCAGCCUGUCCUUCAAAUGAAAUUCACCAGUUCCCCCCAAGCAGAGGACUAUGAUUGUGCCCUGGUUAUAUCUCUGAACUAUUCAUGAAUACCAUAUCCCUACAAGAAGAAUGAACCAUGUCUAGAAAAGUUCAUUCUUCCCAACCUACAAUAAAAAUGUACAUGGCAGUUCCAACAAAAGCAGAAAGACUAGUCACAGUCUGAGGGCUAAUAAUAAAAAUAGCUGCCGUGUUUUGCAUCAGCCAAGUACGGUGCUAAGAAGCUGUCGCAUUCCAUUCUCACCCCGUAAACCUGUGGUGAGACCACUAUUGUCAUCUCCAUUUUACAAAUGAAAACUACGCACAGCUAGUCAAAUGGCCAAACCAAGAUUCCAACCUGGUCUGUCUGCCCCAAAAGCCUGUGUUCUGAACCACUAAAGAAAAACAGGAAAAAAAUAAAUGGAGAGAUGACACAUCUCUCAGUUCUAUAACUCAAAGGAGAGGAUGAUCUUACAUAGUAACUGACACUACACCCUAACAUGGACCACCCCUUCAGGUUUGUUUCAAUAUCAACAAUACAUUACAUCCAUGUGGAGGCAUGAUGUGUGUGCACACAUAUGUAUACCCUCUGGCCUUCUGAUAAAUACAUCUCUCAGUGAGGGGUGUGUGUUCAGAAAGAUCAGAGGGCAACUUACACAUUUCUCACAGGGGCCUUACCUACAGGGGCAAGUCCCUACAUUUCAGAAAAUGGAUUUGUCAGACAUUCAGAGUUGACCUGAUGCAGGAAGACCAACCUACACUAAACUCACAAUAGGGUGAUGCUUACAUUCAGUGAGUAUCACUGCUGACUGAAAUACUUGUGUUCACCAGUAUUUCAUGGUGACAAAGACUACUGGUUGGAGCUGAGUAUCUGUAAAAGGUAAUGGUAGUCGUUCAUAUGGUUAUUUAACAAAUAUUUAUUGUGUAUCUACCUUGUGCCAGGCAGUAUGUCACAGAAUAAGGAACACAGUAGUGGCACUCUUCCAUUUAGGCAUUGGUCAAUUGUGGACAGAGCUGGAAAGACUUCCAAAUUCCACUUUUCCAAACUUCUUGCAGACCAUCUGCCUGGUAUCCACACAUUCCUCUAAGUUAUUGCUGCUGGUUAAGUUAUAGAUUUCUUUCCAAUUUAACUCAAAAGCCUUGCCAAAUUGAUUUCUCAUCCUGAAACACAUACUGACAUUUAAAGGGACUUUGAGAGAGAGCUGAUUUUUAUCUAUUUUGUGUAUGGCAGCUAUUCUUAAUCUAUUCAUCAGUAGAUAAUUUAUCUCAUUUAUUUUAUUUCCAAGUUCUUGGACAAGGGAGUACAGGGAAGUUUCCCAUAAGGACCUCUCCAGAUAUAAAAUAUGAUAAGAUAGAAGGCCUUUGGCUCUGGAAAUAGAAGCUGCAAAUAUAAUUUAUGAAGAAAAAUGGCUUAGAGAUUAAGAAAUUUUUACCAUCUUUUUUAUGAAGUAAUUACUGCCAAUUGUAUCAACUU